RNAcentral lists this long non-coding RNA (5202 nucleotides) under Hordeum vulgare. RNAcentral's name for it is "long non-coding RNA (HVUL_LNC013690)". Lineage: Eukaryota; Viridiplantae; Streptophyta; Magnoliopsida; Poales; Poaceae. The record is from RNAcentral.
CAUGCUCAGUUUAAAAAAAGAGGUUUGAGGUUCUUUUUUUUAGAUUAAGGAAAUACCGCCUUUUUAAGGAUAUUGUAGCUUUUUGUGGAGGCCAAACAACUCAACAUUGGCCAAACCAUAUGUGACGUUCAAGGCCCAAAUAAUCCUCACACUUGACCCGUUGACCGAAAUAUGUGCCUCAACAUUGAUGACACACCCCAAGCUAUUUACAGUAUCUCACAUAUGAUUGCGCCAUUCUUGUCUUAGACAAACUUUGUUGAUAGCUCGGAGCACAUCCUUUGCAUCUGAUGCAAUCAUUAGGUUGAGGUCCUGUGCGAGCGCGAUGGCACGCUAUUGUCUCCCGUAUCGCGGGGUCAUCAACUCAUCCAAUUACAAGUCCUCAGCUGCCAAGAAAUAUUCCAGUCUAAUGGAAAACUGUAUUAUUCCUCUAAUACUCUCUUUGUUUUUAAAUAUAAGUUGUUUAAAAAAAAUUCAUUACAAAUUACAUAAGAAAUGUAAUGAAUGAAUCUAUAUCCUAAAAUAUGCAUAUGUACAUCCACAUGUAGUUUCUAAUGAAAUCUUAAGAAAAUUUAUAUUAAGUAAACAGUGGAAAUACUUUGCAGAGUUAUGAAACGGGGGCCAGUCUGCUAUAUUAUAGGGUGCGCCUGGAACUGAGGUGGCUGAGAAAUAGUAAGGUCUCAGUCACCUGACAUCAGACCACGUAUUAGACCUGUUUUCCCUGAGCCGGUCUGUUUUUUUUUCUUUGGUUUUUCAGUUGUGGCCUAGACGCCUAAUGCUCUAGCUUCCUUUCCUUUGUAUUUUUUUAUUCUUUUCUACUGGGUUUGUGUGACACAGCCACGCACGGGUCAGCCGUAAGCAGUUGAAUCUCAUGUCUAGAUAGAUGAAUAUACCAAUAUGUUUUUGAAUGUAUGUGUCUUUAAAAAGGAGGAAAGUUCAAAAAAAACGUAGUUAAUUCCUAAACACAACAUUAACAAAGAUUGAUUUGGUUUGAACUAUUGUAUUUAUUAAGAUGAGACAUAACAAAUACCAUACUUGCAUAGUUAAGAAAAACACAGAUAUUAUCAAAGAAAAAGGGAAAAGGCAAAACUACAUGCCUCUGUUAUGCCGCAUACUAUGUGUAAUGAAUAUAUUUUUUAGAAAACUCAUUUGGUGUGUUUGUUCAAUGAUUUUCUUUUAAAUAGUAGACAUGCAACCGUCCGACAAUCCCCCCUCUCCCACGAGUUGCAAUCGUGUUGGGGGCGUGUAGUUGCAGUCGGGUUACAAAGCUUGCAAAUGCAACUCUAGAGGUGGACAUAUAGCUGGUCGACAACCUAACCAAAAAUGUACAGUUGCGACCCCGAUUGGGAAACAUGCCGUUGCGGCCUUCCCUUUAAAAACAUGCUGUUGCGACCCUGACUUAAAAAAUAUGCAGUUGCAGACUCCCUUUAAAAACACUCAAUUACGACCUUCCCUUAAAAAUUUGCGGUCGCGACCCUAGUUGAAACUCGUAGUUGCGUCCCCAUUAUUUUUUUUGCAGUUGUGACCCCCGUUGAAAAAGUGUAGUUGCGGCAUUCCCUUUGAAAACAUGAGUUGCAGCCCCCCUUUAAAAACAUACAAUUGCGACCUUCCCUUAAAAAAUUAGCGAUCGCGAUCCUAGUUGAAACUCGUAGUUGCGUCCCCAUUUAAAAAACUUGCAGUUGUGACCCCCAUUGAAAAAGUGUAGUUGCGGCCUUCACUUUAAAAACAUGCACUUGCGACCCUGACUUGAAAAUAUGCAAUUGCGGCCUUCCUUUAAAAACAUGCAACUGCGACCUUUCCUUAAAAAUUUGCAGUUGCGACCCUAGUUGAAACUCGUAGUUGUGUCCCCAUUUAAAUAACUUGCAGUUGUGACCCCCAUUGAAAAAGUGUAGUUGCGGCCUUCCCUUUAAAAACAUGCAGUUGCGACCCUUACUUGAAAAAUAUGCAGUUGCGGCCUCUCUUUAAUAACAUGCAAUUGCGACCAUCCCUUAAAACUUGCAGUCGCGACCCUAUUUGAAACUUGUAAUUGCAUCCACAUUUAAAAAACUUGUAGUUGUGACCACAUUGAAAAAUUAUAGUUGCGGUCUUCCCUUGAAAAGCGUGCAGUUGGACCUUCUCUUAAAAUAUUAUUGUUGCGACCCCAUUUGAAACUGGUAGGUGCAUCCCCAUUUGAAUAUCUUGCAGUAGCGACCCUCCUUAAAAAUGUCUAGUCAUAGCCUCUCUUUGAAAAGGUGCAGUUGCGACCUUCCCUUAUAAACUUGCAGUUGCGACCCCAUUUAAGAUUGGUAGUUGCGUCCCUAUUUGAAAAACUUAUGGUUGCGACCCCCUUAAAGACAUACAGUUGUGACUCCUUUUUGAAAAAUUGCAGUUGCGACUCCAUUAUAAAAACUUAUAAUUACAACCCUUGAAAAAGCAAGCAGCUUCGAUCCCGUUUUAGAAACUUUCUGUUGUGAUUUCAUUUUACCCUUGAAAAAGUGUAGUUGCGCCCCCCUUGAAAAAGUGCAAUUGCAACCUCCCUUCAAAAACAUGAAGUUGGGACCCCAUUUCAAACUUGUAGAUGUAGCUCGUUUGGAAAACCUGCAGUUNNNNNNNNNNNNNNNNNNNNNNNNNNNNNNNNNNNNNNNNNNNNNNNNNNNNNNNNNNNNNNNNNNNNNNNNNNCCGAAAACAUAAAGUUACGACUAGCAUUUAAACACAUGGACCAUUGCUAUAAACUUGCAAUUGUGGCCUAAUUAAAAAAAUUACUUUCAACCCCGUUUGAAAAAUUUGCAGUUGUGCCUCCGCUUCAAAAGGUAUAGUGGCGACAAGCAUCUGAGUUGCGACCCUUACUAAAAACUUGUAACUGCGACCCCAUUUAAAAAAAUAGUUGCGACCUGUUUAAAAAAAAUUGUAGCUAUGCCUUGCCUUGAAAACGUGUUGUUGCGACAAGCAUUUGAACACAUGCAAUUGCGACCAUCACUAAAUAUUUGGAAUUGCGAUCCCAUUUGAAUUUUUAGUUUCUGUCCCGUUUAAAAAUAUACCGUUGCCUGAGUUGCAAUCCUCAGUAAGAGAAAAUAUUUCAACUGAAAAAAAGGCUUGGCAUUUCAUUUCACUAACAUAAAAGGAAAAAACACAACAUAAUAUUAAAGAAAAACAAGGAAGAAAAAAUAUUUAAAAAGCUGAAAUUAGAAAACAAAAAAUAUAAAAAAUAAGGCAACAGUCAAUACAAAACACUGAGAAAAAAAAAAGGACAAAAGGCCAAUAUGACCCGAUAUACAUACACAAGGUAGCAUCGCUACCCCAAAGAAAAAAAACUAGACAGCGUCGCUACCUUUUUCUUUCUUCCAUCAUUGACAGGAGGACGUGAUGGGCCGCAACAGGCGAACAACAAUAUAACAAAAGAAAAAAACGGGCUGAGGGCAACUUGGCUUGGACACUACACGAAUCGCUACGUUGCUUUUGAUCCAACGAUAAUGCAUGUGAAUGAGACCAUAAGUAAAACUCAGCUAGCUGAGUUUUAGCAAACCCGUAUAUUAUAUCCACGAGCUCACUGACGUCGGGCAAACGAAAUCAAAGUCACCAGCAGGCAGCCCUGAUUGAACGGCACCGGCACUGACAUCCAAAUUCAUCCGAUCAUGAAAAUACUCCACGUGAAGCGCGCCACCACAUACUAAUUAAUAAUAUCACCAGCGCGCCAAAAAACUAAUACUAUAUCACCGGCGGUGUCAGUCCGUCGAUCUUCGAACCAACCAACCAACCAUCGAUCGCCAGUCCAAGAAACAGCGGCGACAAUGGAUCACAGGGCGAAGCGGGUGGCGAUCGUUGGCGCCGGCACGAGCGGGCUGGCGGCGUGCAAGCACCUGCUGGCGCGCGGGUUCCGGCCGGUGGUUUUCGAGGCCGGCGAGUCCGUGGGCGGGCAGUGGACGCGCACGCUCGCCUCCACCAGGCUCCAGUCGCCCGCCGCCGUGUACCGCUACUCCGACUUCCCGUGGCCCGACUCCGCCGGCGCGUUCCCGCUCCACGACCAGGUCGCCGACUACCUCGCCUCCUACGCGCGCCGCUUCGGCGUGGACGCGUGCGUCAGGUUCCGGAGCCGGGUCGUCGCCGCCGAAUACGUCGGCGCGGAGCCGGAGGGCGCGGCGGACCGGUGGCAGAGGUGGAACGGCAACGGCGAGGCCUUCGGCGACGGCACGGGCGCGUGGCGCCUCACCGUGCGCCACGGCGGCAUCGGCGAGCAGGAGGCGGAGACGCACGAGUUUGACUUCCUCAUACUCUGCAUCGGCAGGUUCAGUGGCGUGCCCAACAUCCCGGCGGCCUUCCCGGGCCCGGAGGCGUUCCGCGGGCGGGUGCUCCACUCCAUGGAGCUCUCCGACAUGGCCGACGCGGACGCCGCCGCGCUGGUCAAGGGGAAGCGCGUCGCCGUCGUGGGUGCCGGCAAGUCGGCCUUCGAGAUCGCCGCCGAGUGCGCCGAGGCCAACGGCGCGGGGACGCCGUGCACGAUGGUGUGCCGGAACCCGCAGUGGCUGCUGCACCGCGCGGACGUGUGGGGCGGGGUCAGCAUCGGGUACCUCUACAUGAACCGCUUCGCCGAGCUGAUGGUACCCCGUCCCGGCGCCGGCGCCGCCUCCCGCAUCCUCGCCGCGCUGCUGUCGCCGCUCUCGUGGUUGAUAUCGGCGGCGACGGGGGCGUACUACCGGAAGGCGAUCCCGAUGCGGGAGCACGGCAUGGAGCCCGGGCACGGGUUCGCGAGGUCCGUGUCGUCGUGCAUCCUCUCCAUGCUCCCCGACGGGUUCUACGACAAGGUGAGGGAAGGCAGCGUCGUCUUCGCGAGGUCCAGGUCCUUCGGCUUCUGCCACGACGGCCUAGUGCUCGACGGCGCCGGUGCCGGCGAUAAGCGCGUCGUGCCGGCCGACGUGGUGGUCCUCGCCACCGGGUUCCGCGGCGACGAGAAGCUGAAAGACAUGUUCGCGUCGCCGCGGGUGAAGGGCAUCAUCGCCGGUACCGGAUCGCCGGACGCGGCCGUGCCGCUGUACCGGGAGUGCGUGCACCCGCGGAUCCCGCAGAUGGCGGUGGUGGGGCACGCGGAGGGGCUGAACAACAUCUACUCGAGCGAGAUGACGGCCAAGUGGGUGGCGCGGCUGCUGGACGGCGCGUUCCGGCUGCCGGUCGUGCGGCGGAUGGAGGAGAGCUGCGCGGAGUGGGGCAGGUACUACCUGCGGAGGAGCGGC